This 32-nucleotide transfer RNA is filed under the name Pinus halepensis. RNAcentral describes it as "partial tRNA-Ile". The record is from RNAcentral. Lineage: Eukaryota; Viridiplantae; Streptophyta; Pinopsida; Pinales; Pinaceae.
CGAGGUCUCUGGUUCAAGUCCAGGAUAGCCCA